AUUCACGCUGGCGGCGUGCAUCACACAUGCAAGUCGAACGAUGAAACUUAAAUGAUUUCUUCGGAAUGAACUUAAGUGGAUUAGUGGCGGACGGGUGAGUAACGCGUGAGUAACCUGCCUUACACAAGGGGAUAGCCGUUGGAAACGACGAAUAAUACCCUAUGAAACUAUCACUUCGCAUGAAGCGAUAGUCAAAGUGUUAGCGGUGUAAGAUGGACUUGCGUCUGAUUAGCUAGUUGGUGAGAAAAAAGCCCACCAAGGCAACGAUCAGUAGCCGGCUUGAGAGAGUGUACGGCCACAUUGGGACUGAGACACGGCCCAGACUCCUACGGGAGGCAGCAGUGGGGAAUUUUGCACAAUGGGGGAAACCCUGAUGCAGCGACGCCGCGUGAUUUAGAAGGCCUUCGGGUUGUAAAAAUCUUUUGUAUAGGAAGAAAAUGACAGUACUAUACGAAUAAGGUCCGGCUAAUUACGUG
Molecule: ribosomal RNA, 476 nt
Filed under: uncultured bacterium
Lineage: Bacteria
Description: partial 16S ribosomal RNA
Rfam family: Bacterial small subunit ribosomal RNA
Source: RNAcentral